RNAcentral lists this ribosomal RNA (284 nucleotides) under uncultured bacterium. RNAcentral's name for it is "partial 16S ribosomal RNA". It matches the Rfam family "Bacterial small subunit ribosomal RNA", at positions 773 to 1060 of the family's 1533-position model. The record is from RNAcentral.
GUGGAUUAGAUACCCUGGUAGUCCACGCUGUAAACGAUGAUCACUCGAUGUUGGCGAUACACAGUCAGCGUCUUAGCGAAAGUAUUAAGUGAUCCACCUGGGGAGUACGGUCGCAAGAUUGAAACUCAAAGGAAUUGACGGGGGCCCGCACAAGCGGAGGAGCAUGUGGUUUAAUUCGAUGAUACGCGAGGAACCUUACCUGGGCUCGAACGUGGAAUGACAGUCGCGGAAACGUGAUCUUCCUUCGGGACAUUCUACGAGGUGCUGCAUGGCCGUCGUCAGCU